This is a non-coding RNA of Pelobates cultripes (western spadefoot toad), 206 nucleotides long. The record is from the annotation of a GenBank genome assembly. Lineage: Eukaryota; Metazoa; Chordata; Amphibia; Anura; Pelobatidae.
CUGAUAUGUACACUUUGGGAAGUAUUCAAGGCAGUGGUAAUGACAUAACAUGCGUCCUCUCUGGCCCUGCCUCCUCGUAUUGGGCUGCUUUGCCUUUAAAUGCCUAGUAUGGGUUUUUGGCACAGUCCGUACUGAGCCCAUGUCUGUUAAUCCUCCAUAUAUGUCUGUUAACCAUCCAAGAGCAUCUGUUAAGCCCCAUGUGUGUC